UGGGACCACCGGUGGGCACCGCCACGCCCGGCUAAUUUUUAUUAAUGUUUUGCUAGAGCCGGGAUCUUGCUGUGUUGUCUGGCUGGUCUUAAACUCCUGGGCUCCAGCGAUCCUCCCUCCUCGGCCUCCCAAAGCGCUGGGAUUACAGGCAUGAGCCACACUGCGCCUGGCCAAGCUAGUGCAUUUUAAUUGACCUUCACUUCAUGUCAAUUUAUUUUUUACACUAUUCCAUUUAGUCCUCAGAACAGUUCUUUAGAAUUGGGUAUUGCUCCGUUUACGUGGGAAACAUAGCAGCGAGGUAACGGGCUGGGUCCCGUGCUGGGAACGGGAGCCCUGCUCAUCUGACUGCUUGCACCCUGUGCUGUCUAUGCUGGGCGUACUGGGGGGCGUUAGGGAAGAGACCACAGGUACGAUGCAAUGCCUGUCCUCAAGGAGCCCAUUGUUCUCAUGGGAACACAAAGCUGACACAUCGAGAACAAACUAUGGAACAGGCUGUGGCUGAGGGCCAUGAAGGAAGGCUGCCAAGUCCGGGCCCAGCCAGGUAGCAGCCACACCUCUAUCUACCCUGCUCCCCAACACUGGGCACCAGCACUCACCUGCCCAGGACCCACAGUGAAAACCCACCCACAAAAAAUGCACUUUGGAGAAGAGUAGCAGGUCCCAGGCAGAGCCAGGGCCACCUCUCAGAAAGGACAUCAAGUUUCUCGCCCAGCUGAGAGAUGGACAGAUGACCGCACAAGCCACUCACAGCCCAAGGUGAUGGACUCUAGGAUAUAUUCAAGGCUGAGCAACUGGCUUGAAGUCGUGUCUACUUACAUAUUCAAAGACCUAGUGAGCAUUCACAAGUCAUUCUUUUUACCCUCCAACUAGCCGUGUUCUCAACCAGUCUACCUAGGAAUGCUGUUGGCUGUGAAAACUCCAGAGGCUGGUAUCUUUAGAGUUCCUUCAGGGUGCAUUCAGCAUCUGAGCCUAGCGACUCUUGAGGUGAAAGUGCUCACGUUUUUUUUUUGGUGAGAGAGUCUCACUCUGUCGCCCAGGCUGGAGUGCAGUGGCGCAGUCUCAAAGUGCUCAUCUUUAUGUACUUUGGAUGCCGGUGAAUGCCUAUUGUUUCAGCCAGCUGGAUCACUUUACCUGUUAACCAUUCCAAUGAGUGGCCAGAAGGCUCCUCUCCAGGCCUCACAGAGGGAAACACUGGUCUAGUGAGAGACCUGCGUCCUGCCCAUCAGGACCGAAGCGGCACGCGUGAGGAUCCUGCAGGCCAAGAGACAACAGCGAUUACAAACCCCAGUCCCAGCCUUGCAGCUGACCUUGCAGGUGACGCCCUGCCUGGGUGUCUCGGUGCAGCUGCACAUCAGGGGCCUCUGCUGGACAGAAGCUCUGAGUCCACACUUGGCCCCCAGGCGCUGGAGCUGCACUGCCACGAGAGGGGAUGCUGCCGUGGCUGCGCCAGCUUCAGCCCUUUCCCUGCACCGAGAUGUCCCAGUGAGCGGCUGGGUGCUCA
Molecule: long non-coding RNA, 1501 nt
Organism: Homo sapiens (human)
Lineage: Eukaryota; Metazoa; Chordata; Mammalia; Primates; Hominidae
Product: long intergenic non-protein coding RNA 1547
Source: Ensembl